Molecule: transfer RNA, 81 nt
Filed under: Schizosaccharomyces octosporus yFS286
Lineage: Eukaryota; Fungi; Ascomycota; Schizosaccharomycetes; Schizosaccharomycetales; Schizosaccharomycetaceae
Description: tRNA SOCG_16300
Rfam family: tRNA
About the family: Transfer RNA (tRNA) molecules are approximately 80 nucleotides in length. Their secondary structure includes four short double-helical elements and three loops (D, anti-codon, and T loops).
Source: RNAcentral
GGCCUCGUGGCCUAGAAGUAAGGCGUUGGUUUCCGGUUGCGGAUCCGCCAAAGAUCGCGAGUGCAAAUCUCGCCGUGGUCG